CGCAACCCUUGUCCUUAGUUACCAGCACCUCGGGUGGGCACUCUAAGGAGACUGCCGGUGACAAACCGGAGGAAGGUGGGGAUGACGUCAAGUCAUCAUGGCCCUUACGGCCAGGGCUACACACGUGCUACAAUGGUCGGUACAAAGGGUUGCCAAGCCGCGAGGUGGAGCUAAUCCCAUAAAACCGAUCGUAGUCCGGAUCGCAGUCUGCAACUCGACUGCGUGAAGUCGGAAUCGCUAGUAAUCGUGAAUCAGAAUGUCACGGUGAAUACGUUCCCGG
Molecule: ribosomal RNA, 280 nt
Filed under: uncultured bacterium
Lineage: Bacteria
Description: partial 16S ribosomal RNA
Rfam family: Bacterial small subunit ribosomal RNA
Source: RNAcentral